GCUGGCGUAGCUCAACGGUAGAGCAACUGCCUUGUAAGCAGUAGGUUGCGGGUUCAAAUCCCUUCGCCAGCU
RNAcentral lists this transfer RNA (72 nucleotides) under Lujinxingiaceae bacterium. RNAcentral describes it as "tRNA-Thr". It matches the Rfam family "tRNA". From Rfam's summary of the family: Transfer RNA (tRNA) molecules are approximately 80 nucleotides in length. Their secondary structure includes four short double-helical elements and three loops (D, anti-codon, and T loops). The record is from RNAcentral. Lineage: Bacteria; Deltaproteobacteria; Bradymonadales; Lujinxingiaceae.